CUCGCACCAGAAAAUGUAGCUAUUAACACUGUCCGUGUUCGCCAUUCUUGAAGAAACGCUGCCCUUUGGAGUGACGUGUGUAUUUGUGACGUGUGUCGCAAGAAUACCUAAAAGCAGCACAACAGUUUCUUAUCAGUACGAUAUAACGCAGAGCUCGCGUUUUGCUGGCCAGUCGCCAGUUUUUCCUUUGUGACAAUAAUACCGAAACAAUAACUAAACUGUCAUAAGCGGCCUUCACCUGCCCACUGUCGUUGGUAAAACGGGACCACACGUGUUUUUGUCACUACCGUGAGACCAAUUAUAUAUCGGGAUUCGCCAUCACUGUAGUUCGGACCAUCUCAUCUUAUCAGCCUCUUCUUCAACUCUGCAGAACUUGCAAAAUAAAAAUAAGAAGAUCCCUAACUUCUCUUGUAAAAGAGCUUUUGUAGCUUUAAACCAGGCUGCUAUAGAUUGCGAGUAUCUGCCUUCUCUUAAGCAAAUAAACGCAGGCUUUUGCUUGAUGACGGUCAUGGGAAUCCACCCUGAAUAGUCGGUUGGAGAGGUGUGACAAACUAUUCGUAACAAGUGACCAAUAAUGUCUUUUCCGCAUAACUGUGGUUCGCAGCGCUAACACAAGAGAAAAAAAUUUGCUGUUGGUGACAGGCGCACAAUUUCUUGAUCCGGUGCAGGAAAUGAACAAGCUAGUUUUAAAACUCUCUCGCUAGGGGUUCGUUUUUAGCUUGCAUGGUGUGAGCAGCUCAGCUCCGGACAUCUUCGCCUUGUCAAAUCAGUGGAGAGACAAGAAUUCUCGUCAAGAAUUUGAAAGGAGACCAGGCAAUUUUGUAAGGGGUCAUUUAGCUUGCGGAACUGUGUCUGUCAUUCAAUCACCCAUUUCUUAGCCGAGCAAUUUUCACCCAUUCUCAACCCUUAAGUCAUCCAUUCUGCCGAGCCAUUUCAAGCCGAGCACAAUAAGAAAAUAGACGCGAACAUUUUAACUUUUGACAAUGUACAUAGUUUGUUAACCCCCUGCGUCCAAUUUGGGCACCCUAGUAGAAAAGAAGUGAAAUCCAAGCGAGCUUCUCGCUGAUUAGAAGUUGACAGCAGACGUCAGCUUGUCCUGUCUGCUUGAGCGAGUCCUUUCAAAAAUAAAGGGACGACGCCAUUGGAGAGACUGAAGGUCAAUCUUAACAACACUGGGUGUAGGCUACUUUUGCCAACAAACUGCAACAAAAGUUUGUGGCCCGCUAACAAAAUUACCUUUCCUAGGUCCUGACGCACAGUUUCCGUUUAUACAAGUGUCACGUUCUUUUGUGAAACUUGCCGAGACGGAGAAAUCCAAUUUUCGGCCCUAACUUUCGUUUCGUGGGCAAAUUCAUUGACCCUACACGCGCGAGCUUCCCCUCCUUUGCACUGUAAAGGAACUCUACCGUGAUAGCUUAGAUUCACUUUGUAUGUCACCGGCGUAGAUUUUUUCACUUCCAACAGAGGCAGUGAAAUGAAACUAAAAAAAAAAACCUAAUGCGCGAUUCCUUGUUUCCCAUCUGAGUCAUGCGUAAUACUUCGUUUUUGUGCACCAAGAGCGACCCGUGCACCGCAAACGUCGUGCACAGACAAAACAUUCCACAGCUUUGAGCGCCUCAGCUGCAACCUUGUUAGUAAAAAGAAUUACAGAUGCAGUGGCUCCUGAGAUUUCUGUAGCGUAGUUUGCUGUUGCCUAGGUAUGGUGCUAGACCUUUUGUACAGAUAACGUAAUCGAAGUUGCGGAGACCGACACGCUCGUUGCAGUGGCUGUGAAGUAGGGAGAAUGCGUCAGAUAUACAAGUGAGGAUCUCUGGGUAAGUUCAUCCUCUCGCGCCCGGUGGAGUGAAACAGAAGAAACGAAAGACGAACUCGUGGUUUCUGCUUUCAAACAAACCCCGAAGACUGUUUGUACUGAGCUGCUACCAGAACAUUCUCUCGUGCCGCGAGCUGGAGCACUUGAGGGUCACGCCAGUAACUACAAUCAGUAACGGGAAAGACGAGACAGAGAAGAGCAAGGUCGAGAACAACAUAAAGGAGAACAAGCACCGACUCUCUGCUGAGCUUUUGCUGCGGUCGUGGAAGAGUCGGUCGGCAGGAGAAACAGAGGCACCCACGGUGAUAGCGAGAAGACGUCCAAAGAGCGUCGUAGUUUUCGGUGAAGGCGGGUUCCCAUCUGCGGCACCGCGGAGUACUGGAUAACGAGGUCUCGCAAGACGUUCCCGCAUCGGCGGGACGGCUCCCGGGCGCCUACGGCUCGGCGAGCCGUGGCGCUCCGGAGUCGCCUUCUUCGGCGACCGCCCCGUCGGUGCCUCCCGUCGCCGCGUGGCGUUGCACGAUGCAGAGGCUUCGCGAGACCUUCCGGCGCUCCAAGGGGGGCCCCGCCCUCGAGUCCCACCUGCCCACGUCGGUGAGCCUCGAAGUGCCCAAGCAGGUGCGCUCGGCGAGCUUCGACGAGAUCCGCUUCAAGAAGGAGCACGAUCAAGAAGCCUGCGGAGGGGACAACCUCCUCAUGGUCCCUUCGACGAGGAACCAGAGAUCGCGCUCGUUCGACUCGGCGACCACGUCGUCUUCGUCGUCCUCUCCUUCGGCUCACUUGGCUGCGUCCUCGGCGUCUGCGCCGCCUUCGGCGGUCCCCGCAGGCAUGGUUGGCACCGGUGUUGGCUUAAGUGCCGGUGUUGGUGGUGGUGUUGGCUAUGGUGGCUAUGGCGGCUACGGUGGCUUCGGCAGCGCCACUGGUGGUGGCAUCACUUCGCUGCCAGUGCCCAGUCCUCCGGCAACUGCCACGGAGGCGCCCUGUCAGUUGGACGUGCCCAAGUGGAGGAUCCUGCGCCGCUCGUCCAGCGACAAGAGUCAGUGUGCGGCAUGCAUCCACUGUCAGUACAUGGAUGAGUUCAGUCGUAGCACGUCGCGCAGCAACAGCCCUCCCGAUAGGCCCCGAUACUUCUCCUCCGGAUCGGAGACUCUCGAAGAGAGUGAGUCCGAGAGUGCGGCCUCGGGGCGGCCCGACGAAGAGCAGGUCACGGACGCCGAGGAGGACCUCUUGGUGUCACCCACGUCGUGCGGUCUCAUGGUGACGCUGUCGGUGCCGGACUCUGGCCAUCGCGUGAGCCUAGGGGGCGACACCGGGGUCACGGUGGUGUCUCUCCAAGUGCCGCAAGUGGCUAAAGGCCGGUCGGCCUCGGUGGACUCGUCGUUCCUCCAGGUGCCCACGCCAGACCCGGACUUGGACCCUGACCUUGCGGCCAAGGCACACCGGUCGCGCUCCGUGGACAUUGUGCUGCCGACGGGUGCCGAGCCACACUACACGCUCUGUCAGCCCAAGGAGCGAGGACACGCAAGAAAAGCGAUCCAGGGAGAAGUUAAGCUCCCCGCCGAGAAUGGAGAUACGAGGCAGUACCGUGCGACGCCUGACUGGGGGGAAAGUGCUAUCAAUGGGGACCACUUAUGGACAGCCACCAGUGCCUCUGGGGAUCUCUGUUACGUGGGAGAGAGUGAAUGCUCAAAACAUGGACCCCGGAUGAAAUGCCCAGCUUGUAAAAUAACUGUUCACGCCGGAUGCAUUAGCAUUUUAAGUGAUAAAAUGAAGUUUCAAUGUAAGCCAACAUUCAGAGAUGUCGGCAUCAGACAAUACCGAGAGCAAACUGUGAUUCAGCACCACUGGGUACAUAGGCGCUAUGAGAAAGGCAAGUGCCAACAGUGUAGCAAGUCCUUUCAGUCAAAACUCUCAUUUGGUAGCAAGGAGAUAGUGGCCAUCAGUUGCACGUGGUGCAAGACAGCCUACCACAACAAGGAGUCUUGUUUCAGUAUGCAAAGGAUUGGGGAGCAGUGCAACCUGGGUGCACACAUGGACAUCAUCGUACCGCCCUCGUGGAUCGUCAAGCUGCCCCGGAAGGGUUCCUUCAAGUCGUCCAUCAGGAGGUCACCAAAGAAGCGGGCUUCUACGAAAAAGAAGUCCCGUAAAGAGGGAUGCGGAGACAAGGACAUGCAGCGUGCGUUUGCCAUCAAGCCAAUCCCGUGUGCGUCAAGCAAGCCCCUGUUGGUGUUCAUCAAUCCACGGAGUGGGGGCAACCAGGGGUCCAAGAUGAUGCAGAAGUUCCAGUGGCUUCUUAACCCACGCCAGGUCUUCGACCUCUCGGAAGGAGGUCCCAGACAGGGGCUUGAGCUGUACCGCAAGGUGAACAACCUACGAAUACUGGCAUGUGGGGGCGAUGGAACGGCGGGCUGGAUCCUGUCCGUGAUCGAUGAGAUCGGCAUCAUGCCCCCGCCGCCCGUUGCUGUGCUACCCCUCGGUACCGGCAACGAUCUGGCCCGCGCACUUGGCUGGGGAGGGGGUUACACGGAUGAGCCUAUAUCAAAGAUACUCCAAGAUGUUCAGAAUGGGGACAUCGUUCAGCUGGACAGGUGGGACCUAAUUGUAAAUAGAAACACGGAGGUGGACAUCUCUCAGUGCGAAGAAGGCAAAGAGACUGUGCCUUUAAAUGUUGUGAAUAAUUAUUUCUCUAUCGGUGUGGAUGCCCACAUUGCCUUGGAGUUUCACGAAGCACGCGAAGCUCACCCUGAGCGGUUCAACAGCAGGCUAAAGAACAAAAUGUUUUACGGCCAGGCAGGAGGCAAGGAUCUCCUUCAGCGAAAGUGGAAGGACCUCUGCAACUACGUCACAUUGGAGUGCGAUGGCCAAGAUUACACGGGGAAGUUACGAGAGCACAAAGUACACUCCAUUCUCUUCUUGAACAUUCCCAGUUAUGGUGGUGGCACGAGACCCUGGGGAAAUCCGGGGACAGCAUUUGAAAUGCCACAGACCGAUGAUGGCCUCAUUGAAGUGAUUGGCCUCACCAUCUACCAAAUGCCUUUCCUCCAGGCGGGUGGCCAUGGCACCUGCCUAUGCCAGUGCCGAAGCGCCCGCGUCGUGACGAGCAAAACCAUCCCGGUGCAAGUGGAUGGGGAGCCCUGCCGCCUACUGCCGUCGCUCAUCGAGCUGCAUAUGCGCAACAAGGCCUGCAUAGUGGCCAAGGCCAAGAUUCACAACCAAGUGCCAAGCCAGUUACCACUGGAAAAGCUGACCAUUGCCAUCCGAAAGCUAAACAUGGCUGAUUACGAGAAUUAUCACUACGACAAGGAGAGGCUACGAAGCCUAUCCAUACCGAUUGGAACAUUGACUGUGAACCCUGACACUGAUCUGGAGAAUGUCAGGCUGCUGAUCAACCAGUUGUGUUCUCUGGAAGGUCCAGAUGCACAGAAUCUGUCACCGUCCAAGAGGUUCUCACCCGACUGGUGCUUUCUGGAUUCAUGCACAGCGGAGAGGUUCUUUCGCAUCGACCGAGCGCAGGAGCAGCUACACUACGUCGUCGACAUUGGUCAGGACGGUGUGUACAUCCUCGACCCUGAGCAAUCGCCGAUCGCUCCGGAGCCGCCACCACCACCACUGACGUCACCCACAACAGACGAAACUGGUGCCCUGGACAGUUCGUCUGUCUUGAAGGAAAGUGCGGAAGGCCUAGCAGCUAUAGCAGCAGCCGCAGCUGCAGCCGAAGCUGUAGCCGAAGCUGAAACAAAGGAGCCAGCUCCAAUGUGGAGCCCCCCUACCCCCAUGCAAGAGUGUAAGGAACAGAAAGUUGAAGCUGGAGAGCAGCUGCAGCCAACUUCAUCGCAUGCUAAAGCAGCUUUGUGACAGUGGUCACAGCCUGCUGUCGACGGACGACAGCGGGAUGACGGCACUGCACCAUGCCGCUCGCUACGGACACAAGGACGUUGUUCGGUAUAUUGUCGCCAGCGCGCCGCCAGUGAUCUUGGACAUUGUGGACAAAGACAG
This 5809-nucleotide unclassified non-coding RNA is filed under the name Dermacentor andersoni. RNAcentral describes it as "eye-specific diacylglycerol kinase-like". The record is from RNAcentral. Lineage: Eukaryota; Metazoa; Arthropoda; Arachnida; Ixodida; Ixodidae.